Molecule: ribosomal RNA, 340 nt
Filed under: uncultured bacterium
Lineage: Bacteria
Description: bacterial SSU rRNA
Rfam family: Bacterial small subunit ribosomal RNA
Source: RNAcentral
AAAACAGCCCUACGGGAGGCAGCAGUGGGGAAUAUUGGACAAUGGGCGCAAGCCUGAUCCAGCAAUGCCGCGUGGGUGAUGAAGGCCUUCGGGUUGUAAAGCCCUUUUGGCGGGGACGAUGAUGACGGUACCCGCCGAAUAAGCUCCGGCUAACUUCGUGCCAGCAGCCGCGGUAAUACGAAGGGAGCUAGCGUUGUUCGGAAUUACUGGGCGUAAAGGGCGCGUAGGCGGUUUCGAUAGUCAGGCGUGAAAUCCCCAGGCUCAACCUGGGAAUUGCGCUUGAUACUGCGAGACUUGAGUGAGGGAGAGGAUAGUGGAAUUCCCAGUGUAGAGGUGAAAU